UGUAUACUGGUGUAAAGGGCACACAAAGUUUUGAUCUUUGGGGAAAUUGGUGGGAUUCCAUUGUAUAUAA
RNAcentral lists this transfer RNA (70 nucleotides) under Metanephrops sibogae (Siboga lobster). RNAcentral's name for it is "tRNA-Gln". Lineage: Eukaryota; Metazoa; Arthropoda; Malacostraca; Decapoda; Nephropidae. The record is from RNAcentral.